UCCAGACUCCUACGGGAGGCAGCAGUGAGGAAUAUUGGUCAAUGGGCUUACGCCUGAACCAGCCAAGUCGCGUGAGGGAAGACUGCCCUAUGGGUUGUAAACCUCUUUUGUCAGGGAGCAAAGGCGUCCACGUGUGGACGAGAGGAGAGUACCUGAAGAAAAAGCAUCGGCUAACUCCGUGCCAGCAGCCGCGGUAAUACGGAGGAUGCGAGCGUUAUCCGGAUUUAUUGGGUUUAAAGGGUGCGUAGGCGGAGUGUCAAGUCAGCGGUAAAAUUUCGGGGCUCAACCCCGUCGUGCCGUUGAAACUGACGCCCUUGAGUGAGUGAGAAGUAUGCGGAAUGCGCGGUGUAGCGGUGAAAUGCAUAGAUAUCGCGCAGAACUCCGAUUGCGAAGGCAGCAUACCGGCGCGCAACUGACGCUCAUGCACGAAAGCGUGGGUAUCGAACAGGAUUAGAUACCCGGGUA
Molecule: ribosomal RNA, 465 nt
Filed under: uncultured bacterium
Lineage: Bacteria
Description: bacterial SSU rRNA
Rfam family: Bacterial small subunit ribosomal RNA
Source: RNAcentral